Molecule: ribosomal RNA, 393 nt
Filed under: uncultured bacterium
Lineage: Bacteria
Description: partial 16S ribosomal RNA
Rfam family: Bacterial small subunit ribosomal RNA
Source: RNAcentral
AUACGGAGGAUCCGAGCGUUAUCCGGAUUUAUUGGGUUUAAAGGGAGCGUAGGUGGAUUGUUAAGUCAGUUGUGAAAGUUUGCGGCUCAACCGUAAAAUUGCAGUUGAAACUGGCAGUCUUGGGUACAGUAGAGGUGGGCGGAAUUCGUGGUGUAGCGGUGAAAUGCUUAGAUAUCAAGAAGAACUCCGAUUGCGAAGGCAGCUCACUAGACUGUAACUGACACUGAUGCUCGAAAGUGUGGGUAUCAAAUAGGAUUAGAUACCCUGGUAGUCCACACAGUAAACGAUGAAUACUCGCUGUUUGCGAUAUACAGUAAGCGGCCAAGCGAAAGCAUUAAGUAUUCCACCUGGGGAGUACGCCGGCAACGGUGAAACUCAAAUGAAUUGACGGGG